AACGCACAUUGCGCCCCUUGGUAUUCCGGGGGGCAUGCCUGUUCGAGCGUCAUUACAACCCUCAAGCACUGCUUGGCCUUGGGCUCCGCUACUCACCUAGCGGGCCUCAAAACCAGUGGCGGCGCCGUCGGGCCCUGAGCGUAGUAAAUCUCCUCGCUAUAGGGACCCGGUGGACGCUGGCCAUCAACCCCCACUUUCUAAGUUUGACCUCGGAUCAGGUAGGGAUACCCGCUGAACUUAA
RNAcentral lists this unclassified non-coding RNA (241 nucleotides) under uncultured fungus. Its description in RNAcentral is "sequence contains ITS2". The record is from RNAcentral. Lineage: Eukaryota; Fungi.